RNAcentral lists this ribosomal RNA (464 nucleotides) under uncultured bacterium. RNAcentral's name for it is "partial 16S ribosomal RNA". It matches the Rfam family "Bacterial small subunit ribosomal RNA", at positions 339 to 795 of the family's 1533-position model. The record is from RNAcentral.
CUACGGGGUGCUGCAGUGGGGAAUUUUGCACAAUGGGGGAAACCCUGAUGCAGCGACGCCGCGUGCGGGAAGAGGGCCUUAGGGUUGUAAACCGCUUUCAAUUGUGAAGAAGGGAUGAGAGUUAAUAGCUUUCUGACUUGACGGUAGCAUUAGAAGAAGCACCGGCUAAUUUCGUGCCAGCAGCCGCGGUAAUACGAAAGGUGCAAGCGUUGUUCGGAUUUACUGGGCGUAAAGAGAUCGUAGGUGGUUUAUUAAGUCGGAUGUGAAAUCCCGGAGCUCAACUUCGGAACUGCAUUCGAUACUGGUAGGCUAGAGUUCGGGAGGGGAAAGCGGAAUUCCGUGUGUAGCAGUGAAAUGCGUAGAUAUACGGAGGAACACCUGAGGCGAAGGCGGCUUUCUGGACCGAUACUGACACUGAGGAUCGAAAGCGUGGGUAGCAAACAGGAUUAGAUACCCCAGUAGUC